This is a long non-coding RNA of Haliotis rubra (blacklip abalone), 495 nucleotides long. RefSeq lists it as uncharacterized. The transcript has 2 exons. NCBI's taxonomy places the organism in Eukaryota, Metazoa, Mollusca, Gastropoda, Lepetellida, Haliotidae. The record is from RefSeq and is a predicted model, not a curated record.
GAGACAUGUGAUUACUGCUGAUUGACAAAGUGAGCUGGGAUUGUCAUGGAGCCUGCUUGUCAGAUUGUCAAUUAACCUGCUCGUCAGAAUGUCAUUGAGCCUGUUUGUCGGAUUGCCAUGGAGCCUGCUUGUCAGAUUAUCAUGGAAUAUGCUUACCAGAUUGUCCAGGAACCUGCUUGCCGGAUUGUCAAGGAGCCUGCUUGUCAGAUUGUCAUGGAUCCGGCUUGUCAGAUUGUCACGGAGUCUGCUUGUCAGAUUGUCAUGGAGCCUACUUGUCAGAUUGUCAUGGAACGUGCUUGCCAGAUUGCCCUGUAGCCUACUUGUCAGAUUGUCAGGGAGCCUGCUUGUCAGAUUGUCAUGGAGCCUACUUGUCAGAUUGUGAUGUAGCCUACUUGUCAGAUUGUCAUGGAGCCUGCUUGUCAGAUUGUCAUGGAGCCUGCUUGUCAGAUUGUCAUGGAGCCUGCUUAUCGAUUGAAUAAAACAUAUGGAACAUGA